AGUAUUAGAUGUGUUACAUCCAUUACAUUCAUUUUAAAAUAAUUUGAGUUUAUAUAUGAGUUGAGUAGACAGAGGGUUCCAAUGAUAUACUAUAGAAGAAUAGCAAACAAAUUCCCCCAUCUGCCUCACAGGUUCACAGGUGUGUGUGGAUGAAAGAGCAAAAGGUGUGCACAUGCCCAAAUCAAUGGGCCAGCUACAACCAAAUACUCCUCAUUAAAAUUCAAUAAUGAUCCUUCCGCAGGUUCACCUACGGAAA
Molecule: unclassified non-coding RNA, 256 nt
Filed under: uncultured fungus
Lineage: Eukaryota; Fungi
Description: sequence contains ITS1
Source: RNAcentral